UACGUAGGGUGCAAGCGUUGUCCGGAAUUAUUGGGCGUAAAGAGCUCGUAGGCGGUCUGUUGCGUCGGCUGUGAAAACCCGGGGCUCAACUCCGGGCCUGCAGCCGAUACGGGCAGACUAGAGUUCGGCAGGGGAGACUGGAAUUCCUGGUGUAGCGGUGAAAUGCGCAGAUAUCAGGAAGAACACCCGUGGCUAAGGCGGCUCUCUAGUACGGUACUGACGCUGAGACGCGAAAGCGUGGGGAGCGAACAGG
Molecule: ribosomal RNA, 253 nt
Filed under: uncultured bacterium
Lineage: Bacteria
Description: partial 16S ribosomal RNA
Rfam family: Bacterial small subunit ribosomal RNA
Source: RNAcentral